This is a long non-coding RNA of Seriola dumerili (greater amberjack), 341 nucleotides long. RefSeq lists it as uncharacterized. Lineage: Eukaryota; Metazoa; Chordata; Actinopteri; Carangiformes; Carangidae. The record is from RefSeq and is a predicted model, not a curated record. The transcript is spliced from 3 exons.
AUAGUUAUUGAGAGAGGGACUGCUUCCUAAGAACUUGAUAAUCAUAUUACGCAGGGAUCAGAAAUUCUUUGAUCCACUCCACAAAAGAACUUCAGAGGAAAUACUGAAUCCAACAAGAGUUUAGUCAUUUACAUGCAGGAUAUCUCGUGCUGCAGCUGAUCCUUGUGUAGUCGGUAUCAAUGGAGGAAAUCUACAUCAAUGCAAAGCAUGAGAGUCGAGAGUCAAGAAUUUUAUCAAAUCAGCCAGGUCCCAGGAGCUCUGAGAGGAGAUUUCAUGGAGCUGUUGUUGUCUCUGUGAGUCUGCUGAGUGUUCUCCUGCUGGCUGGGCUCGUUGUCCUCUGU